AUUGAACGCUGGCGGCAGGCCUAACACAUGCAAGUCGAACGGUAACAGGAAGCAGCUUGCUGCUUCGCUGACGAGUGGCGGACGGGUGAGUAAUGUCUGGGAAACUGCCUGAUGGAGGGGGAUAACUACUGGAAACGGUAGCUAAUACCGCAUAACGUCGCAAGACCAAAGAGGGGGACCUUAGGGCCUCUUGCCAUCGGAUGUGCCCAGAUGGGAUUAGCUAGUAGGUGGGGUAACGGCUCACCUAGGCGACGAUCCCUAGCUGGUCUGAGAGGGUGACCAGCCACACUGGAACUGAGACACGGUCCAGACUCCUACGGGAGGCAGCAGUGGGGAAUAUUGCACAAUGGGCGCAAGCCUGAUGCAGCCAUGCCGCGUGUAUGAAGAAGGCCUUCGGGUUGUAAAGUACUUUCAGCGGGGAGGAAGGGAGUAAAGUUAAUACCUGUUCUCAUUGACGUUACCCGCAGAAGAAGCACCGGCUAACUCCGUG
Molecule: ribosomal RNA, 490 nt
Filed under: uncultured bacterium
Lineage: Bacteria
Description: partial 16S ribosomal RNA
Rfam family: Bacterial small subunit ribosomal RNA
Source: RNAcentral